AAUCAACGCUGGCGGCGUGCCUCAGACAUGCAAGUCGAACGAUUAAAGCUCUCUUCGGAGAGUGUAUAGAGUGGCGCACGGGUGAGUAACACGUAAGUAAUCUACCUUUGAGUGGGGAAUAACGUCCGGAAACGGACGCUAAUACCGCAUAAUGCAGCGGCAUCGCAAGAUGACAGUUGUUAAAGAUUUAUCGCUUGAAGAGGAGCUUGCGGCAGAUUAGCUAGUUGGUAAGGUAAUGGCUUACCAAGGCUACGAUCUGUAACCGGUCUAAGAGGACGGUCGGUCACACUGACACUGAACAACGGGUCAGACUCCUACGGGAGGCAGCAGUCGGGAAUUUUGGGCAAUGGGCGAAAGCCUGACCCAGCAACGCCGCGUGAAGGAUGAAGUAUUUCGGUAUGUAAACUUCGAAAGAAUGGGAAGAAUAAAUGACGGUACCAUUUAUAAGGUCCGGCUAACUACGUG
This 465-nucleotide ribosomal RNA is filed under the name uncultured bacterium. Its description in RNAcentral is "bacterial SSU rRNA". It matches the Rfam family "Bacterial small subunit ribosomal RNA", at positions 32 to 507 of the family's 1533-position model. The record is from RNAcentral.